CCUUUGCGGUGUUGCAGGCGAGAGGAAAGUCCGGGCAACACAGGACAUCCCGCUUCCUAACAGGAAGAGGUCCGCAAGGGUCAGUCAGUGCAGAAGAAAAGAACCGCCUGCUUCCAGGUGUAGCAAUACUUGCUCCGCCCGUGUGCAGGUAAGGGUGAGAAGGUGAGGUAAGAGCUCACCAGGCCGGCAGUGAUGUCGGUGCUGUGCACUCCGGGAGUUGAAAGUUCAUGUAUACCGGCGCAUACAAAGAGAGGGCUGUCCGUCCGAGCCGGAGGGUAGAACGAUAGAGGACAGUGGUGACGCUGCCCCAAGAUAAAUGGCAAGCACCCCGCAAAGGCUUCGGCCAGAACGGGCAUACAGAACCCGGCUUACAGGUUCGCUGUU
This 384-nucleotide RNase P RNA is filed under the name bovine gut metagenome. RNAcentral's name for it is "Bacterial RNase P class A". It matches the Rfam family "Bacterial RNase P class A". From Rfam's summary of the family: Ribonuclease P (RNase P) is a ubiquitous endoribonuclease, found in archaea, bacteria and eukarya as well as chloroplasts and mitochondria. Its best characterised activity is the generation of mature 5'-ends of tRNAs by cleaving the 5'-leader elements of precursor-tRNAs. The record is from RNAcentral.